GAUGAACGCUGGCGGCGUGCCUAAUACAUGCAAGUCGAGCGAAUGGAUUAAGAGCUUGCUCUUAUGAAGUUAGCGGCGGACGGGUGAGUAACACGUGGGUAACCUGCCCGUAAGACUGGGAUAACUCCGGGAAACCGGGGCUAAUACCGGAUAACAUUUUGAACCGCAUGGUUCGAAAUUGAAAGGCGGCUUCGGCUGUCACUUAUGGAUGGACCCGCGUCGCAUUAGCUAGUUGGUGAGGUAACGGCUCACCAAGGCAACGAUGCGUAGCCGACGUGAGAGGGUGAUCGGCCACACCGGGACUGAGACACGGCCCAGACUCCUACGGGAGGCAGCAGUAGGGAAUCUUCCGCAAUGGACGAAAGUCUGACGGAGCAACGCCGCGUGAGUGAUGAAGGCUUUCGGGUCGUAAAACUCUGUUGUUAGGGAAGAACAAGUGCUAGUUGAAUAAGCUGGCACCUUGACGGUACCUAACCAGAAAGCCACGGCUAACUACGUGCCAGCCGCCGCGGUAA
This 515-nucleotide ribosomal RNA is filed under the name uncultured bacterium. Its description in RNAcentral is "partial 16S ribosomal RNA". It matches the Rfam family "Bacterial small subunit ribosomal RNA", at positions 28 to 523 of the family's 1533-position model. The record is from RNAcentral.